This is a long non-coding RNA of Cyanistes caeruleus (blue tit), 646 nucleotides long. Lineage: Eukaryota; Metazoa; Chordata; Aves; Passeriformes; Paridae. The record is from Ensembl.
CUCUGCUGGAAAGGUGCCUUUUGUCUGAGGAGCCAAAGUGCUUUCUCUUAGGAGGCGAUGCUCCUGACAGCUUGAUUGCUUGGAAUCUGAGGUGAAAAUGCCCAACCAAAGAGAUCAGUUGAGAGAGGAAAAAGCAGCACGUUAAAAUAAGAAAAACAGGAUUUUUGUGAAGGACACAAUUGUGUGUUUGCGCGUUGCUGAAACCCAAAGGUAAUUGUUUUAGGGUUGUUUUUGGAGGAAAACAGGAGAGACACAGCCUGGCUGCUCCUGUUCCCAGUCACGAGGGAGAGAUCCCAUCAGUCUGGUCCCUCUGCAAGGGCUCUGUCACUUCCCAGGCUCUUGAUUCCCUGACUGAUCAGCCAGAAGCUGCUGGGAGUCAGAUUCUCCCCUCCAAAACUCUGUUUUCUUCUCACUGGAAGAAACUUCCAGCUCUCAGGUCUUCUCAUACCUGUGGAGAGGACACCAUGCCUGAAAUGAUUGUGAAGAACACCUCAAACAAACAAAAAACCAAGGUAAUCUGUCUUCAUCAGAUCUUGUCCAGAAUGCAUUGAACUCCUAAAUCCAGACAAAAUACCUCUGUGGGAGGAGAAAAAAGAAAAGGAAUGAGCAGAGAAAUGCCUGUUCUUUAAAAAUCAGCUUUAAGCUG